This 377-nucleotide ribosomal RNA is filed under the name uncultured microorganism. RNAcentral describes it as "bacterial SSU rRNA". It matches the Rfam family "Archaeal small subunit ribosomal RNA", at positions 330 to 713 of the family's 1478-position model. The record is from RNAcentral.
GUGCAGCAGGCGCGAAUACUUUACAAUGUGCGAAAGCACGAUAAGGGGACUCUGAGUGCCUCCUAAGGAGGCUGUUCUGAUGUCUAAAAGCAACAGAAGUAAGGGCUGGGUAAGACCGGUGCCAGCCGCCGCGGUAACACCGGCAGCCCAAGUGGUAGCCACGUUUAUUGGGUCUAAAGCGUUCGUAGCCGGCCAGGUAAGUUCCUUGGUAAAUUUAGCCGCUUAACGGUUAAGCUUUCAGGGAAUACUGCUUGGCUUGGGACUGGGAGAGGUCAGAGGUACUCCGGGGGUAGGGGUGAAAUCUAUUAAUCCCUGGGGGACCACCGGUAGCGAAGGCGUCUGACCAGACCAGGUCCGACGGUGAGGGACGAAGGCUA